UGGGGAAUUUUCCGCAAUGGGCGAAAGCCUGACGGAGCAAUACCGCGUGAGGGAUGACGGCCUAUGGGUUGUAAACCUCUUUUUUCAGGGAGGAAUAAAUGACGUGUACCUGAAGAAUAAGCAUCGGCUAACUCCGUGCCAGCAGCCGCGGUAAGACGGAGGAUGCAAGUGUUAUCCGGAAUCACUGGGCGUAAAGCGUCUGUAGGUGGUUUAAUAAGUCAACUGUUAAAUCUUGAGGCUUAACUUCAAAAUCGCAGUCGAAACUAUUAGACUAGAGUAUAGUAGGGGUAAAGGGAAUUUCCAGUGGAGCGGUGAAAUGCGUAGAGAUUGGAAAGAACACCGAUGGCGAAGGCACUUUACUGGGCUAUUACUAACACUCAGAGACGAAAGCUAGGGUAGCAAAUGGG
Molecule: ribosomal RNA, 407 nt
Filed under: uncultured bacterium
Lineage: Bacteria
Description: bacterial SSU rRNA
Rfam family: Bacterial small subunit ribosomal RNA
Source: RNAcentral